UACAGAGGGUGCAAGCGUUGUUCGGAAUUAUUGGGCGUAAAGGGCGCGUAGGCGGUGCGGUAAGUCACCUGUGAAAUCUCCUGGCUCAACUGGGAGCUUGCAGGCGAAACUGCCGUGCUGGAGUGUGGGAGAGGUGCGUGGAAUUCCUGGUGUAGCGGUGAAAUGCGUAGAUAUCAGGAGGAACACCGGUGGCGAAGGCGGCAUCCUGGACCGGCAUUGACGCUGAGUGAGCGAAAGCCAGGGGAGCAAACGGG
RNAcentral lists this ribosomal RNA (254 nucleotides) under uncultured bacterium. Its description in RNAcentral is "partial 16S ribosomal RNA". It matches the Rfam family "Bacterial small subunit ribosomal RNA", at positions 524 to 776 of the family's 1533-position model. The record is from RNAcentral.